UACAGAGGGUGCAAGCGUUAAUCGGAAUUACUGGGCGUAAAGCGCGCGUAGGUGGUUUGUUAAGUUGGAUGUGAAAUCCCCGGGCUCAACCUGGGAACUGCAUUCAAAACUGACAAGCUAGAGUAUGGUAGAGGGUGGUGGAAUUUCCUGUGUAGCGGUGAAAUGCGUAGAUAUAGGAAGGAACACCAGUGGCGAAGGCGACCACCUGGACUGAUACUGACACUGAGGUGCGAAAGCGUGGGGAGCAGACAGG
This 253-nucleotide ribosomal RNA is filed under the name uncultured bacterium. Its description in RNAcentral is "partial 16S ribosomal RNA". It matches the Rfam family "Bacterial small subunit ribosomal RNA", at positions 524 to 776 of the family's 1533-position model. The record is from RNAcentral.